CAUACCCUCACUGACUUGCCUCGGACCUUCGUCCAGCGUUCCCCUCCCAGCCGCCGCCAAAACAGAAAGCCCUACCUUUGCUCGAAUGCGAUGGCGCCACCGCCGCUAGCCACGGCGGCGGCGGCCAAUCCUCACGAGGAGAUCCUGGAGGUGCACUGCGUGGGAUGCAGAGAGACACUAGAGGUGGAACGGGGGCUGACGGAGUUUGUCUGUCCCGAUUGCGGCACGCCGCAGUCGCUCCCGCCGGAGCUCAUGCCGCCGCCCCGGCGGAGGGCGCUUCCGAUGCCGCGCAGCGCCGCGGACGCGCGCGGGGCUCGGCUUCCGUGCGGCGCCUGCGGCGAGCUCCUUAGUGUGCCGGUCGGGCUAUCGCGCUGCGCCUGCCCCUUCUGCGGCGCCGAGCUGGCCGUCAACUCCGCGCGCCUCCGGAACUACAUCCUGUCCUCCGCCGCCGCGGCCGUCGUGCCGCUCGCCCCCGCGACUGUCUCACCCAUCGUUGCUGCUCGGGAGACAUGGCAGGAGCAUUCGAGUUAUGCAAUGUAUGCAGGACUACCCCGAGCAGAACCUAAUGCCAGGCUAAUUCCUACGGGGAGGACACAGAUAGAGCGUCCCAGCCGUCUCAUCCACGUCCAUCGGGAUGAACAGAAGUAUCCUCAUCAUAUGGCUGAUAGAGAGGAGAUACCUAUGGCCAAUGAGACUGUUGCAAACAAUAGCCUUCAGAGAAAUCGACUUUCACCUGGCCAUCGUACUUUGGGUAAUGAGGAGAGACAUGUUUUUCCUCUAAAUGAGGUCAGAGAUCAUGUAAAGGAUCAGCACCCUAGUUACAUAGUUCAGCCAAAGCGAGCAAAGACGGCACACCUGCAUAGAGUCAUUCAUUCAGAGGAGAUGCAGGAAGGGCCUCUCAGCCAUGAAGUGUGUAGAGAGGCGAGACGCACUGAACUGAUAUAUGAGACUGCUGUAACUCGUAGAAACCAGAGAGUUGGAUGCUCCGCUACCCCCCAGUCAUUAAGUGUAGAGGACAAGCAUAUGGAGACUCCUAGUGAGAGCAUACAGAAGGCGCACAAACACCCUUAUCAUGAGAGUCAUGCAGAGGGCAGUCAUGUAGGGUGUCUGGACAUGGAUGGGGUGGUUCACCCGCCGUUCAACCAAGCAAAUCAUGAACCUGUAGAAAGUGACCAUGAUGACCUGCAAGAUUUUGCUCCUAAUAUCGAAGUGCCAUCAGUUGCUAUGGAGGACGACCCAAUGGAAUGGGGGCCUUUUCAGCGGCGUUCCGCCUCUCCAGAUUUCGAAGUGUCAGUUGCCACAGCAAACACUGAAUCUGUAGAAAGUGAGCAGGAUGAGCACCAUGAUGUAUCUCCAGAUCAGAGCAGACAUGAGUCUGAACCUCCAGACAUUGAUGGAAUCAUUGCUGAUCUUUGCCCUAGCACACCUUCUGCGCAUAAGAUGGCUCAAGAAAUCUCUGAUGAAUCAGAUGCGCCUGAUUCAACCACAAUUCCUUCAAAUACUGAUAUGUCUGACCCUGAGCGUUUCGCGCGUAAUUAUUGUCUGGAGGUCAGAAGGGCCCUUGGAAAGAAGAAACCUAACGUGUUUCUUAACCGUUUGAUGUCUCAGGGUUCCAAUAAGGCAUCCCUGCAUGAUUUAAGUGAUUCUGAAGAGCAGCAAGAAGUCCAAAAGGGAAAGAAACGUCUUAGUGUCAAAGUAUGGACCUUACCCAAGACUGUACGGAUACCAGUUUCCUUGAACACUUCGGGCCUGCCAGUUGGAGAAAAUGCAACCAUGUUGAUUAACUUUCUGGGUGUACUAGCACGAGAUGCAAUAUUGGCACCUCUCACGUAUAUAAGUUGGAAAAGUAUUCCAACAGAGAACAAGAGUGUAAUGUGGCACAUUGUUAAGCUUAAAUUUGAUGUGGAUCCAUCUCAUGAGUUGCCGGUCAUGACGUUCAUAAGAAACAAGCGGAGGGUUUGGAAAUCUCAAUUAAAACGGACACAUUAUGAUACCCAUGUAUCUGAAGAGGAACGCCUUGCUGAUCGAGAUCCUCGUGUCCCAAAAGAACAUUGGCGAGUCCUUCUUGCGUAUUGGAGUACUGAAAAGUUCAAGGCUAUAAGUGCUGCAGGUAAAGCUUGCAGGGCCAGAUCAACCUAUAUCAAUGUUACCGGAUCAAAGAGCUUUGCACGGAUACGUCAGGAAGAGUCACAAUCUGGUGACCCAGCUCACGAGAAUCCAGAAGGUUCAGGAGGCGAUUAUGCAUCUGUCGUGGGUGCAGAAAGGAGGGGUAAGACACGCAGGCAUAAAUCUGGGCCCUCCCCCGAAGACAUGCAGGGAAGGUCAGCCUCGCAAGCUGCGAGGACCAAAACAAAGGCUGGAGAUGAAGCCUCCAAACUGAAAGAGGAGGUUGUAGUAACAGAGGAAAUUCGAAACCCCCAGGUCUGGGCAGCCUCUAAAGAUGCGAGGGCUGAAAGAAGGGCUGAAGAAGAGGCAGCUGCUCUAAGGAAGAAGGUGAUAGUGAUGGAGGAAAGCCAGAAAAAGCUGCAGGAGGACUUGGCAAGAAUGACGAAUGCAAUGAGUGCCAUACAGAAUAUGAUGUCCACCGGUGGCUUACCAAAUGGAUCUAUGGGUGGACCAAUGGUGCCACCAAAAUUAUAACAGGACCAAAAUGCAGCGGGCUUCCACGAUGUUUUACAGCCGUAUAUUGAUUACUCAGGGCUAUGUGAUCCUUCGUCGCCUAGUCUUCAGACUGGAUGAGACGAUUGACCUGAUCGGCUGAUGCUUGAGGGUACAUAGCUGCAGUAGCUUUUGCCUUUUACGCUUUGAUUUUAAUUUUAGAUGCACUGUCUUCGGUUUCUCCGGUGGAAGUGAUCACAUUCAGCCAUAUGGUCGUAAUCUCUUGUCAUGUUUUUUCUGUUGUCAUGAUAGGGUAAUUAGUUAUUUAUUGGCUAUGUAGAACUAGGAACUUAUAGCAUGUUCUACCGAUGCAUGCUACAACAACGGGAUGUUGCCCAAAUGCUUCUUAGUGUUCACGGAAUGCUGUGUUUCAGUUGAGUGUUUCGUCAGUUGUUCAUGGUACGCACGCCUACCACAAAGCUAUCACUGGCUAUCUCUAUGUUCCGCUCCUGCACAAGGACUGAGAAGUUCGGUGACAGAGCUGGAAUCUGUAUGUAGCAUUGUACGCGUCUAAAGAUUUAAUCUAAUUAAAGUUUUGGUGUCUCA
This is an RNA transcript of Lolium perenne, 3204 nucleotides long. RefSeq lists it as uncharacterized. NCBI's taxonomy places the organism in Eukaryota, Viridiplantae, Streptophyta, Magnoliopsida, Poales, Poaceae. The record is from RefSeq and is a predicted model, not a curated record.